RNAcentral lists this ribosomal RNA (253 nucleotides) under uncultured bacterium. Its description in RNAcentral is "partial 16S ribosomal RNA". It matches the Rfam family "Bacterial small subunit ribosomal RNA", at positions 524 to 776 of the family's 1533-position model. The record is from RNAcentral.
UACGUAGGAGGCAAGCGUUGUCCGGAUUUACUGGGCGUAAAGAGCGCGCAGGCGGUCGUGCAAGUCGCGUGUGAAAGCCCCCGGCUCAACUGGGGAGGGUCACGCGAUACUGCUCGACUCGAAGGCAGGAGAGGGAAGUGGAAUUCCCGGUGUAGUGGUGAAAUGCGUAGAUAUCGGGAGGAACACCAGUGGCGAAGGCGACUUCCUGGCCUGUUCUUGACGCUGAGGCGCGAAAGCUAGGGUAGCAAACGGG